Molecule: long non-coding RNA, 205 nt
Filed under: Glycine max (soybean)
Lineage: Eukaryota; Viridiplantae; Streptophyta; Magnoliopsida; Fabales; Fabaceae
Description: long non-coding RNA (GMAX_LNC000164)
Source: RNAcentral
AAAUUGUUUAGAAAAGAUAUUAUCUUAUUUUUAAGAUUUGUUUAAAUUUUAAAGAUAUUAUCUUAUUUUUAAGAUUUGUUUAAAUUUUAAAGAUAUUAUUUAUAAAUUAUUGACUUGUUUCCUCAUUUAAUUGGAUUAGAAUGUGAUGUCUAUAAAUAUGGAGUUUUAUACCAGAAGAAGUAUAAAACCUGAGUCACCAAUCUAA